GCCGCGGGAGUGGGAGGCAACGAGGUAGAGGGGGCUGGGACUUCAGGAGGAGAUAACACUGGAGUAGGAGGGGUGGGAGGAGGAUCCUUGAGGAUGGAAGGGGUGUCUGUGGGUAAGGGGACGGAGGCAAGGGAACCGGGGUUAACGGGCUGGACAAGAUUCAGGAGAGCGGAGAGUAGGGACGGGGAAUCCUUGGAAGAGGAGGAGGAGGGGAGUGGAUGAGAAGAAAUGGGGGGCAAUGGGAGUACAGGGGUAGGGAUCACAGGGUUUCCCAAGGGUACUGGGACUGGAGGGCCAACUGGGGGACAGGGGUCCCGGGAGUCGGGGUCGGUUGGUUGGAUGGGAACAGGGGCCGUAGGGCACAGGGCAGACGGAGAGGUUGAGGGGGCAGAGAUUACUAGGGACGGGGUACUCAGGGUGGAGGAGGGCUGAGAGGGGGAGGAGGAUGGAACUUCGACAGUCGGGGCGGGAGUAGUUGGGGCAGAACUCGGGGUGCAGACAGGCACUGAGGGAGGUAACGGAGGGCAAGGAGGUGGGGGAGCUCCAACGGACAUGACAGGAGGAUGGUUGGAGGAGGGGACCUGGUCACAGGAGGGCUGAUGCAUAGGAGUGGGUGGGAACGAGUGUUGUGGUAUUGGGAAAUAAUAGGCUCCAUCUACUCCAAGUACGGGACAUAGAGGGGUGGGGGCUGAAGACACACCCCUGGGGGGUGGAGUCUGUGCUGUGACGGGUGAAAUGGGGCGGGAAUUUACUGCCGCGCUCUGGGCGCCAUCAUAGGGUGGUGGCCGUGGAACAAUAGAAACAACAUCAUCAUUGUGAACACUCCUAUGGUAAACAUGUACGAUCUGCCCUUCAAACUCCAACUCUUCCUCGACCCAUCCUUCCCUUUUCAAACCUCUAGCUACACGAUACCAAGCCUCUGCAACCUUCGUGAGUCCGUUAUCCAACAAUAAACCUUCCUUGUCUAUGAGUACCUUCCUCCAAAACUCCGGUUGCAACCUCCCACUGGGUAACAUCUGAAAGCCACACACCUUAGCAACCUUUUUAAGUUUCAUCAUUGCAUCUUCCCCUGCUCUUUCUUUCACAAUGUCACAAGCCAACAAACCCUUAGCAGGUCUAGCAUGCUCCUGUCCCAUCUUGACUAAUCAAAGCGUGCCACUCGUUAAAGACAGAUGAAUAGAGAAGGUAUGAGGAAAGAAGGGAAAAAGAGUGUCUACAGUGCUCGACUGCCACGAGAACUUGAGCCCCGUGCGUCUUCCCCAAACGUAGACUAGUCACGGAGGUCCGCCCACCCGGGGUGGUGGCCGCGGACGGGAGCAAAUGAGCGUGGGUGACUAACACAGCUCUGGGUCACAGGCACAGGAGAGAUAAAGCACAAAAGAGAAGAUGAACGUGGCUGCACUAAUGAGAAGACAUUUGCAAAAAUCACAAACGUAUAAAUGAGCAUAAACUCCCGAAUCCAGAACUAACCACGCAACACACACACACACACCAAGGGUACCCACGCUGUAACAACAGUUAAACAAAAACCACAGAAUGACAGAAAGUAGAAUGGCCAUGUACAUGUUAAAAUCACCGGUGCCAAAUAAUUGAAGUAUAACAAUUCUCAGCCUUCACCCACCAGGCUGGUCCCAGUAUAUCACAGGUAUUAACGGGAGCACAGUAAUAACAGUAAUAAACAAACAAAAUCCCAGCCCCACCGGCUGUAAAAUCCC
RNAcentral lists this long non-coding RNA (1715 nucleotides) under Pelobates cultripes (western spadefoot toad). The record is from RNAcentral. Lineage: Eukaryota; Metazoa; Chordata; Amphibia; Anura; Pelobatidae.